UCAGUUCGGAUCGGAGUCUGNAACCCGACUCCGUGAAGCUGGAUUCGCUAGUAAUCGCGCAUCAGCCAUGGCGCGGUGAAUACGUUCCCGGGCCUUGUACACACCGCCCGUCAAGCCAUGGGAGCCGGGGGUGCUUGAAGUGCGUCGCCGCAAGGCGCGCCCUAGAGCAAAACCGGUGACUGGGGCUAAGUCGUAACAAGGUAGC
This 205-nucleotide ribosomal RNA is filed under the name uncultured bacterium. RNAcentral describes it as "partial 16S ribosomal RNA". It matches the Rfam family "Bacterial small subunit ribosomal RNA", at positions 1288 to 1500 of the family's 1533-position model. The record is from RNAcentral.